RNAcentral lists this ribosomal RNA (274 nucleotides) under uncultured bacterium. RNAcentral describes it as "partial 16S ribosomal RNA". It matches the Rfam family "Archaeal small subunit ribosomal RNA", at positions 473 to 747 of the family's 1478-position model. The record is from RNAcentral.
AAACCAGCACCUCAAGUGGUCAGGAUGAUUAUUGGGCCUAAAGCAUCCGUAGCCGGCUCUGUAAGUUUUCGGUUAAAUCUGUACGCUUAACGUACAGGCUGCUGGGAAUACUGCAGAGCUAGGGAGUGGGAGAGGUAGACGGUACUCGGGAGGAAGUGGUAAAAUGCUUUGAUCUCUCGAUGACCACCUGUGGCGAAGGCGGUCUACCAGAACACGUCCGACGGUGAGGGAUGAAAGCUGGAGGAGCAAACCGGAUUAGAAACCCCGGUAGUCC